RNAcentral lists this ribosomal RNA (380 nucleotides) under uncultured cyanobacterium. Its description in RNAcentral is "bacterial SSU rRNA". It matches the Rfam family "Bacterial small subunit ribosomal RNA", at positions 376 to 770 of the family's 1533-position model. Lineage: Bacteria; Bacillati; Cyanobacteriota. The record is from RNAcentral.
CGCAAGCCUGACGGAGCAAGACCGCGUGGGGGAGGAAUGCCUUAGGGUUGUAAACCCCUUUUAUCUGGGAAGAACAAAAUGACGGUACCAGAUGAAUAAGCCUCGGCUAACUCCGUGCCAGCAGCCGCGGUAAUACGGAGGAUGCAAGCGUUAUCCGGAAUCAUUGGGCGUAAAGCGUCCGCAGGUGGCAAAUCAAGUCUGCUGUUAAAGACAGAAGCUCAACUUCUGAGAAGCAGUGGAAACUGGUUAGCUAGAGUAUGGUAGGGGUUGAGGGAAUUCCCAGUGUAGCGGUGAAAUGCGUAGAUAUUGGGAAGAACACCAGUGGCGAAGGCGCUCAACUGGGCCAUAACUGACACUCAGGGACGAAAGCUAGGGUAGCG